CACUGUGGAGGAAGAAAGAGAAAAGGAUUUGGCAGAUCAAAGUCAAAAUGCAAAUGAGGGAAAAGAUGAUCCCGAAUUGUUGCCUUUGGGAUGGGUUCUGGAGAUCAAAACUCAAAAUGGUGGAAAAUGCAAUGGAAAGCAGA
Zingiber officinale is the source of this 143-nucleotide long non-coding RNA. RefSeq lists it as uncharacterized. The transcript is spliced from 2 exons. Lineage: Eukaryota; Viridiplantae; Streptophyta; Magnoliopsida; Zingiberales; Zingiberaceae. The record is from RefSeq and is a predicted model, not a curated record.